AUUGAACACUGGCGGCAUGCUUUACACAUGCAAGUCGAACGGUAACAGGGUGCUUGCACCGCUGACGAGUGGCGAACGGGUGAGUAAUGCGUCGGAACGCACCGAGUAAUGGGGGAUAACGCAGCGAAAGCUGUGCUAAUACCGCAUGCGCUCUGAGGAGGAAAGCGGGGGACCUUCGGGCCUCGCGUUAUUCGAGCGGCCGACGUCUGAUUAGCUAGUAGGUGAGGUAAGAGCUCACCUAGGCGACGAUCAGUAGCGGGUCUGAGAGGAUGAUCCGCCACACUGGGACUGAGACACGGCCCAGACUCCUACGGGAGGCAGCAGUGGGGAAUUUUGGACAAUGGGCGCAGGCCUGAUCCAGCCAUGCCGCGUGUCUGAAGAAGGCCUUCGGGUUGUAAAGGACUUUUGUCAGGGAGGAAAUCCUUAGCGCUAAUACCGUUGAGGGAUGACAGUACCUGAAGAAUAAGCACCGGCUAACUACGUGCCAGCCGCCGCAGUAA
RNAcentral lists this ribosomal RNA (500 nucleotides) under uncultured bacterium. RNAcentral's name for it is "partial 16S ribosomal RNA". It matches the Rfam family "Bacterial small subunit ribosomal RNA", at positions 30 to 523 of the family's 1533-position model. The record is from RNAcentral.